RNAcentral lists this ribosomal RNA (256 nucleotides) under uncultured bacterium. RNAcentral describes it as "partial small subunit ribosomal RNA". It matches the Rfam family "Bacterial small subunit ribosomal RNA", at positions 32 to 286 of the family's 1533-position model. The record is from RNAcentral.
AGGACGAAACGCUGGCGGCGUGCUUAACACAUGCAAGUCGAGCGGAAAGGCCCUUCGGGGUACUCGAGCGGCGAACGGGUGAGUAACACGUGAGCAACCUGCCCCUGGCUCUGGGAUAGCCUCCGGAAACGGGGAUUAAUACCGGACAUGACCCUUGACCGCAUGGUUGGGGGUGGAAAGUUUUUCGGCCAGGGUGGGCUCGCGGCCUAUCAGCUUGGUUGGGGGGGUGACGGCCCACCAAGGCGACGACGGGUAG